RNAcentral lists this unclassified non-coding RNA (22 nucleotides) under Mus musculus (house mouse). RNAcentral describes it as "oocyte_clustered_small_RNA4396". The record is from RNAcentral. Lineage: Eukaryota; Metazoa; Chordata; Mammalia; Rodentia; Muridae.
ACAUGACCACUAGUCCUUCUAA